Molecule: long non-coding RNA, 992 nt
Filed under: Daphnia magna
Lineage: Eukaryota; Metazoa; Arthropoda; Branchiopoda; Diplostraca; Daphniidae
Description: uncharacterized LOC116934633, transcript variant X2
Source: RNAcentral
UCGCCGGUUGAGUAUAUAAUUUUAAAAGUUUCGUUAGGCAGGAUGGCUGAAGAUAAUUCAGUCGGUAUUUCUACCGAGCUGUUGAUGCUGUUUUGUCCUCCUUACCAUGAUGUUGCAUCUUGUGAUCUCAAUGCUGAAUUUUGUUCGUAGAAAAAGUUGGGGUGACUGGCUGGAAGGUGUUGAACUGGCAACUAGACUAACUCUUGGAGGAACUAUUCAUCUGCAAAAUAUAUCAAGCUUUUUAUUUUCAUUGAUAAAAAUCCACUUGCUGUUGCUAUUGGAGGUGGCAAUUGUACCUAAAUACUGGUAACGAUCCAAUAUGACGAUUGAUGUUGUCCGCAUAGUGAAGUCCAUUUUGGCUAGCCAAAGAAGUCGGUGGACGGAACAUGUCAGACCUUCGUUGACAAGGAUUUCGCUAGUGGCUGUCUAAAACACACAAAUGCAGGAAUAUUCAGCAAACGAUAGCGAAUACUUGAGCUCGGAAUUGAUUUUUAGAAACGGAUGGUUAGCUGUCUUGAAAGACAGUGCUGAAUUAGGAACAAAUUGUUGCGUGAAAUAUCGCAAUUGACAAGACUAAUGAACAUUGUGAAUAGGAGAAGCAUCCUGAUGGACGUUUGUUGCCAAGGAAAUUUACGUUGGUUGAAACGGUGUCUGAAAAUUCCCAAUUUUCAUGGUUACAUUUUCAUUCUUGUUUAAAAGUAUUUUCAUAAAUAUUGAAGUGCACGUCUGAUCUCUUGCUUCAUGUAUACCCCGUUUCCCCUUGGCUUCUGAUAGUCCCGUAUCGGGUCGUGCUGGUGCUGAAAUUUUUAUGUUAUAUAUGGUGUGUUGUAAGGUUUUUCUGAAGUGUUCAUUAACUUUAAAGAUCUAUCAAUCUAUUGGAUAUACCCAGAAUAAGAUCCUUAUGUGGGUUAAUUAGUGGCUUCUAUAUGUUUGCUAAAAUUGUAUUGCAACUGAAUGAUAAUCUAAAAUAAAACAAAACUAGCAAAAUUUAA